RNAcentral lists this ribosomal RNA (253 nucleotides) under uncultured bacterium. RNAcentral describes it as "partial 16S ribosomal RNA". It matches the Rfam family "Bacterial small subunit ribosomal RNA", at positions 524 to 776 of the family's 1533-position model. The record is from RNAcentral.
GACAGCGGGUGCAACCGUUGUUCGGAAUUACUGGGCGUAAAGCGCGUGUAGGCAGCUCGGAAAGUCGGAUGUGAAAGCCCUGGGCUCAACCUAGGAAGUGCAUUCGAAACUUCCGAGCUUGAGUGCUGGAGAGGAAGGCGGAAUUCUCGGUGUAGAGGUGAAAUUCGUAGAUAUCGAGAGGAACACCGGUGGCGAAGGCGGCCUUCUGGACAGUAACUGACGCUGAGACGCGAAAGCGUGGGGAGCAAACAGG